Molecule: non-coding RNA, 45 nt
Organism: Echinostoma caproni
Lineage: Eukaryota; Metazoa; Platyhelminthes; Trematoda; Plagiorchiida; Echinostomatidae
Source: Rfam
GCACUGCUGACGAGUCCUAAACAGGACGAAAGAGCAGUCCAGUGC